AGAGAACUCAAUACAAGAAAAACGAAAUGACAAGAGAAAGAAAGAAGAAAAGAGAAGAGAAACUUAAGGUAGAAAGAAGGAAAGAGCUACGGUUUUGGGAGGAGAAAAAGCCCAAAACGUUACCAAACAGCCAAUAAGUUUCAGCUGCGCUAAAGGAAAUUCCGAGGCAAGUUUUGGCGAGUUUUGGUGAAUUUCGGGAAAGGUUCAAGAGACGACGAGGCGAGCAUAGUUAAGAGUAAUCCGUAAGAGGUACGUAAAGCGAACCUUUCUUUCUUUUGGCAUGUUUUUGACAUAAGUAUG
Solanum dulcamara is the source of this 300-nucleotide long non-coding RNA. RefSeq lists it as uncharacterized. The record is from RefSeq and is a predicted model, not a curated record. NCBI's taxonomy places the organism in Eukaryota, Viridiplantae, Streptophyta, Magnoliopsida, Solanales, Solanaceae. The transcript has 3 exons.